Molecule: ribosomal RNA, 303 nt
Filed under: uncultured bacterium
Lineage: Bacteria
Description: partial 16S ribosomal RNA
Rfam family: Bacterial small subunit ribosomal RNA
Source: RNAcentral
AGCAGCAGCCGCGGGAAAACAGAGGGUGCAAGCGUUAAUCGGAAUUACUGGGCGUAAAGCGCGCGUAGGUGGUUUGUUAAGUUGGAUGUGAAAGCCCCGGGCUCAACCUGGGAACUGCAUCCAAAACUGGCAAGCUAGAGUACGGUAGAGGGUGGUGGAAUUUCCUGUGUAGCGGUGAAAUGCGUAGAUAUAGGAAGGAACACCAGUGGCGAAGGCGACCACCUGGACUGAUACUGACACUGAGGUGCGAAAGCGUGGGGAGCAAACAGGAUUAGAUACCCCUGUAGUCCCUGUCUCUUAUAC